RNAcentral lists this ribosomal RNA (189 nucleotides) under uncultured bacterium. RNAcentral's name for it is "partial 16S ribosomal RNA". It matches the Rfam family "Bacterial small subunit ribosomal RNA", at positions 338 to 524 of the family's 1533-position model. The record is from RNAcentral.
CCUACGGGAGGCAGCAGUAAGGAAUAUUGGUCAAUGGACGAAAGUCUGAACCAGCCAUGCCGCGUGAAGGAUGAAGGUCCUCUGGAUUGUAAACUUCUUUUAUAUGGGACGAAAAAAGGCUUUUCUAAGUCGUCUGACGGUACCUUCUUAGCAAGCACCGGCUAACUCCGUGCCAGCAGCCGCGGUAAU